Molecule: long non-coding RNA, 6947 nt
Organism: Anolis carolinensis (green anole)
Lineage: Eukaryota; Metazoa; Chordata; Lepidosauria; Squamata; Anolidae
Exons: 2
Source: RefSeq, a predicted model, not a curated record
GAAGCAAGUCAGAAGGGCUGAAGGUGUCUCCGUUCCCGUGGGGGGUUUGCCGGCGCCUCCUCCUCACUCGGGAAUGCUGGACGGGGGGGGGGGGGCAACUUCACUGCCCCUUUCACGCUUCAGUCCUCCUCCAGGAGAAGCCAAGUACUGGGCACUUCGGCGUCGCCUUCUUCACAAGCGCCCAAGGGAGUGGGGGAGGAGGAAGAAGAGGAUGAGGGAGGGGAGACGGGGACAGAGGCUCCUCGGUGGCCCCGAUGCGACGCAGCCCUUCCUUCCACUCCGGCAGGCCUCCCCGAACCUUAUUCCUCUCGCUCUGUCUUCAUCCAAGGCGUCCGAUGAGCCACGAACCCCGCCGCAGAGGAGCAGCUUACCUCCGCGGCUCUGGUCGCCUCCAGUCGUCAUUCACCGCCAAGAGAAAGGAGCGACUGGCAGCAGAAGCAGCUGAAGCAGCAGACCCAGCGAAGGAAGGAGGAAGGAAGGAAGGAAGGAAGGAAGGAGGGAGAGCUGCGGGAAAAUCCUCCUCCCCUCCCUCCCUCCCGUGCUCCUCCGCCAGCAGCGGCAGCUCCUCCCCGUCGCCGCCUCCGUCAGUGCGGCCCUCCCAGGCCGGCGGAGCCCCUUCUCCGCUCUCCCUCCCUCGCCCAAGCCGCUGCGGCGCCUGCUUGCGCUAUGUCGCUGGCCGAGGUGCUGAAACCUCAGCGAGACUGCGGCGCCGGCUUGGACCGUGUCGCUGGCCGAGGUCCUGAAACAUGGACAGCUCCUCUCUGCCUUCCCUGCCGGGCGUUGGCCUUCGCCUGGGGAAAGGCGCGAGUAGGGCUGUCCCCAGGCAACUCAAAGCCAAGGCAGUCAGGCGCCUUGCAAGGGAAAAGCAGCCUUCCCCAGCCCCAUAUCAAGCCUCCUCUUCUCUUCUCCUCCGCUCCAAUCUCCGGCAUGGAAAGCCCCCACCCUCUUGCCAUUAGGGGGUAAUGCCUGCCAUUAUUCACUCUUAUUUUAGUGUUGGCAGUUAAAGUGAGAUCAUUAAGGCAUCUCUGCUUUUUCUGGCCCUCAUUUUUGGCGACAUAAGGUAGGUGUUAAAGCGCUGAGCUGCUGAGCUUGCAGACCGAAAGGUCCCAGGUUCAAAUCCUGGGAGCUGAAUGAGCGCCCACUGGUGGUGGUGGUGCGGUGUGUUAAAGCGCUGAGCUGCUGAACUUGCAGACCGAAAGGUCCCAGGUUCAAAUCCUGGGAGCUGAAUGAGCGCCCACUGGUGGUGGUGGUGCGGUGUGUUAAAGCGCUGAGCUGCUGAACUUGCAGACCGAAAGGUCCCAGGUUCAAAUCCUGGGAGCUGAAUGAGCGCCCACUGGUGGUGGUGGUGCGGUGUGUUAAAGCGCUGAGCUGCUGAACUUGCAGACCGAAAGGUCCCAGGUUCAAAUCCUGGGAGCUGAAUGAGCGCCCACUGGUGGCGGUGGUGCGGUGUGUUAAAGCGCUGAGCUGCUGAACUUGCAGACCGAAAGGUCCCAGGUUCAAAUCCUGGGAGCUGAAUGAGCGCCCACUGGUGGUGGUGGUGCAGUGUGUUAAAGCGCUGAGCUGCUGAGCUUGCAGACCGAAAGGUCCCAGGUUCAAAUCCUGGGAGCUGAAUGAGUGCCCACUGUUAGCCCCAGCUCCUCCCAACCUAGCAGUUCGAAAACAUGCAAAUGUGAGUAGAUCAAUAGGUACCGCUCCGGUGGGAAGAUAACGGCGCUCCAUGCCGUCAUGCCGGCCACAUGACCUUGGAGGUGUCUACGGACAACAUCGGCUCUUCGGCUUAGCAAUUCAGUCAUUUCUGAACAGGUAUAGGCAUUUCUUGGAAUUUUGUUGUUUUGUGCCUUCAAGUUGUUUCCAAGAUAUGGGAACUUUAAGCCAGUGGUUCUCAACCUGUGGGUCCCCAGAUGUUUUGGCCUUCAACUCCCAGAAAUCCUAACAGCUGAAAAACUGGCUGGGAUUUCUGGGAGUUGUAAGCCAAAAACACCUGGGGACCCCAGGUUGAGAAUCACUGUACUAGAUUAAACUUUAGAUCAAAUUCCCAUCAUGCAGGAUUUCCUAAUACAUAAUGAUGACUCAUAGUCUGAGAGAAGGAGUGCUGCAGUAAAUUAUUUUGUUGUGGGACACCUCUCCCCCACUCCCACCUGUUUUAUAGCCAUAGUUUGAUACUGAUUGAUAUUUUCACAAGCAACAAUUUACUAAUGUGAAUGUAUAGUGAUGUAUUUUAAUAGCUAUGGUCUAAGAAUUAAAAGGGGCACCUGGUGGUGGUGCAGUGUGUUAAAGCGCUGAGCUGCUGAACUUGCAGAUGGAAAGGUCCCAGGUUCAAAUCCCGGGAGCGGAGUGAGCGCCCGCUGUUGCUCCAGCUUCUGCCAACCUAGCAGUUCGAAAACAUGCCAAUGUGAGUAGAUCAGUAAGUACCGCUCCGGCAGGAAGGUAACGGCGCUCCAUGCAGUCAUGCCGGCCACAUGACCUUGGAGGUAUCUACGGACAACUCCGGCUCUUCAGCUUAAAAAUGGAGAUGAGCACCAACCCCCAGAGUCAGACAUGACUGGACUUAACAUCAAGGGAAACCUUUACUAAGGUAGGGAAAGGAAUUUGCAUCUUUCCAGAUAGGAGCCCCGGUGGCAAAGUGUGUUAAAGCACUGAGCUGCUGAACUUAUUUAUUUAUUUAUUUAUGAUUACAAUAUUUAUAUCCCGCCCUUCUCACCCAACAGGGGACUCAGGGCGGCUUACAAUAAAACACACAUAUAAAAACUGCACAAUACACUAUAAAUCAGUUAAAAAAUUAACUUACAUAAGACAUUCAUAAAACGCAUUAUAAAAUACAGAUAGGCGUGUUCAAGUUUAAAAGACUGGGUCUGUCAAUUGAGUUCCAGCGUACAUAAUAGUAAUUAAUGCUGCUGAUUCUUAUUCAAAAGCCUGGCCCCACAACCAAGUUUUAACCUUCCUACGGAAGGAUAGGAGGGAGGGAGCCUGCCUGACUUCAAUGGGGAGGGCGUUCCAUAGGCGGGGAGCCACUACUGAAAAGGCCCUCUCUCGUCCCCGCCAGCCGCACCUGUGAGGCUGACGGGACCGCGAGCAGGGCCUCAUCUGAUGAUCUUAAGCUUCGAGGUGGGUCAUAGAGGGAGACAUGUUCAGACAGAUAAGCUGGGCCAGAACAGUUUGCAGAUGGAAAGGUCCCAGGUUCAAAUCCCAGGAGUGGAAUGAGCGCCCUCUGUUCAUCCAGCUUCUGCCAACCUAGCAGUUCGAAAACAGGAGCCCCCGUUGGCGGAGAGGUUAAAGCCUCAUGACUUGAAGGUUGGGUUGCUGACCUGAAGGCUGCCAGGUUCGAAUCCCACCCGGGGAGAGUGUGGAUGAGCUCCCUCGAUCAGCUCCAGCUCCUUGCGGGGACAUGAGAGAAGCCUCCCACAAGGCAGUGGAACUCUCUUUCCCGGACUGUGGUGGAGGCUCCUUCUUUGGAGGCUUUUAAGCAGAGGCUGGAUGGCCAUCUGUCAGGGGUGCUUUGAAUGCGAUUUCCUGCUUCUUGGCAGGGGGUUCGACUGGAUGGCCCAUGAGGUCUCUUCCAACUCUACUAUUCUAUGAUUCUAUGAUUCUAAGGGUGGUAAAGACAUCAAAACAUCCGGGCGUCCCCUGGGCAACGUCCUUGCAGACGGCCAAUUCUCUCACUCCAGAAGCAACUCAGGUUGCUCCUGACACAAAAAAAGUUUGAAAACAUGUCAAUGUGAGUAGAUAAAUAGGUACUGCUCCAGCGGGAAGGUAACGGUGCUCCAUGCAGUCAUGCCAGCCACAUGACUUUUGAGGUGUCUACGGACAACUCCGGCUCUUAGAAAUGGAGAUGAGCACGAACUCCCAGAGUCAGACUUGACUGGACUUAACGUCAGGGGAAACCUUUACCUUAGAUAGAGGAAUCAAACAUUGUGGGGAAAAAGAGCCAAACGCUUCUCAGAAAUCCCAGAAAGGAGCUGGGGGAGGAGAAAAUGUUUUCUCAUGCUCAGGGCUUUCUGUCAAGAUAUGUGAAUACCUGGGUGGGAAGGGGGAUCACUUCCUUAGUGGCAUCUUGGACAGAUGAGCUAACACCACUGUUAAGCUGCUUGCAAGGGAGGACUUAAACUGGGCAUUAAAAUAAAAAAUGGGGUAUGGGGGUGGCAGGGAGAGAAUAUAUGAUAAGUGAAGGCAAUUUCAACUUACCACCACUAACUGACAGGAAGUCUCAUUCAGGGGUGUGUGUAUGUGUGUUCAAAUCUGUGGCUCUUGGACUUCAGAGGGAUGGGAGAAGAAACUUCUGAAAGGCCAACUUAUGUUUUAGAAGCUAAUUUAGAGAUGACAUAAAUGUGUAUGUCCCUUCAGAAUCUGGCCUUAGUUUAAAUCUGGGAAGAAACAUCACAAUGGGGAAAAGCAGAUACAGGAGGAUAAAACCAGAUGUAGGUUGCAGGGACAGAACACUGUGCCCAGGUGAGACUGAGCCCAGUGGUGGAGACAGAAACCUUGAGUCCACAAAUAGCCUUUGAAUAUUUUAAGGAUUCUUGCUUCAUCUACUUCAGUGGUUCCCAAAUUUAUUUGGCCUACCGCCCCCUUUCCAGAAAAAAAUAUUACUCAGCACCCCUGGAAAUUAUUUUUUUUUAAUUUUAAUAGCAAUUAAACAGAAAGAUAUAUGUAUUAAUGUUUCUACCUUUUUCAUAAAAUAUAGUAAAGAAAUGUGUAAAUUAGAAACAUUGAAGUUUGAAAUUGCGAAACUAUUUUUUGAACUCAGAAUAGAAAGGUAAUACAAAAAAAAGUUAUAACAUUUGAAAUCAUCUUAAUGAGAAGGAUGAACUUGGUAUGCUGCUACUCGGCUCUAUUUUCGUCAGUAGUAAUCUUAAAUCGCUGCAAUUGACUAUUUGCAAUCGGUUUCUUUUUUUGUUAAUAAAAUGGUUACUGCACUGAAUCCACGUUCCACUAAAUAUGAUGAAGGAAAUGCAAUUAAGAACUUUUGAAUUACAGCCCAUAUUUCAGGAUAAGCCGUAGGGAAUCUCCUUUUGCAGCCAGAAUUGUUAGUAGCCGCUUUUGAAUUUAAAUUUCAAUUAAUCAUUUGUACUUACUUCCAUCAGUUCUUCUUGUAACUGUGAAGAUUCUUCUGUGCUUGCACUUGAAAAAGGAUCCAAAAUCCAUUCAGUUAUUCAUCGCCCCCAAAUGCACCUGUGGCCAUCACCGCCCCUCUAGAUUGCUGCAGUGCCCACCAGGGGGCGGUAGUGCCCACUUUGGGUAUCACUGAUCUACUUUAAGAAUGAAGAUAGAAACUAUUCCUUACCAGUUGCGGUGACUGAUGUGUCACCUAUGGUAACCUCCGGAGCCUCCAGUGAUAUAGUGGUUUAAAGCCUCAUGACUUGAAGGUUGGGUUGCUGACCUGAAGGCUGCCAGGUUCGAAUCCCGCCCAGGGAGAGCACGGAUGAGCUCCCUCUAUCAGCUCCAGCUCCAUGCGGGGACAUGAGAGAAGCCUCCCACAAGGAUGGUAAAAACAUCAAAACAUCAGGGCGUCCCCUGGACAACAUCCUUGCAGACAGCCAAUUCUCACACUCCAGAAGCAACUCAAGUUACUCCUGACAUGAAAAAAAACAACCUCCAGGCAAAGAGAUUCUCCACAAUAAAUUAUGUUUGCUUUACAGAAAACUGAGUAGGGGAAAGUAUGUCCCUGCUAGUUCUACUAGACCAACUGUGUCCAUUCCAUGAGAAGUCAGAUCUGGCCAUGAUGGUACAUGCAUUGGUUACAUCCUGGCUGGGCUACUGUAAUGUGCUGUACUUGGGGUUGCUUUUGAAAAGUGCUCAGAAAUCUCAGUUGAUCCAAAGAGCAGCAGUCAGAUUAUUAACUGGGUCUGGCUACAGGAAGUGUACAAGUCCCUUUUUGCAACAGCUCCAUUGGAUACAAACCAAUUUCUAGGCAAAAUUCAACAUGCUAGUAGGGAUUUAGAGGUUAUUUGAAGGACCAUAUAUUUCUGUAUGAGCCUGUUAGUGGGAACAAGAGAGAGGAUAUUUUGGUGGCUGCUCCCAGAUUAUAGAACUCCCUCCCAAAGGAGACCAGGUUGGCCCCAACCCUGUUUGCCUUUUGCAAGCUGGUAAAGACAUUGUGUUUCCAUCCGGCAUUUGGAAGGAAAUGAGUGGCAUGUGGCUGGGGAUGUUGUGGGUGGAAUGUUGGGUUAGAUGUUUCGCUUCUAAAUGAAACUUUAAUUCAAUUUUAUUGUAUGUUUUCAGGAAAAGCCUGAAAACUUGGCUGUUCACACAGGCUUUUGAAUAAGUACCACCCUCUGAAUGUUAAAUUCUUGUAUAAAUGUUAAUCCUUGAUCGGUUUCAUCCACAUGGGUAAUUUCUCUAUAUAGGCUUAGGGUUCAACUCACUUUUGGGUUCUCCCCCACAGUCUUAUAGCACUUUUAACUUCCUCUAUGUUUACAAAUCUCACUUAGUGCACUUUGAUCAGCCCAUCCUUAUGUUUUAUUGCUGCAUUUUAAAUUUGUCUUAUUAAUGGUUGAUUUUAAUCAUAUGUUUUAAUUUUUCAUUCGUGCGUUUUGGUAUUUGAUGUUUUAUGUAUGUAUACGUGUUUUGUAUUUGUAAGCCGCACUGAGUCCCUGCGGGGAGAUAUGUCAGAGUUUUAUAUUAUUUAGGUCAUUUCUUAUGUGAAAAUUGAUAAGUGUUUGUAAGAAUCAUGUCCUAUCCAUGUAUGACCAGCAGCAAUCAAGACACCUGUUAAAGACUGAGUGUUAUGAAUAGAGACUGAGUAAAUCUUUAGUUAGUGAAUGUGAAUGUUAUUGUGAAGAUGAGGAUGCUGGUGACGAUCAUGGUGUUGCUGUUGGAAAGCUGUUGAAGUGGAGCUGAAGAAAGCUUGAAGAUAACAUUUUGUUUCGCCGUUUGAAAGCGGCUGAUAAAAGCCAAGGACUGUUAUGUUUGUAUAUAUUUUUAUAUAAAUCUUUCUUUACUAAAAGACA